This is an RNA transcript of Tachysurus vachellii, 1806 nucleotides long. It is a transcript of the gene named FXYD domain containing ion transport regulator 7, with no coding region annotated. The record is from RefSeq and is a predicted model, not a curated record. The transcript is spliced from 6 exons. Lineage: Eukaryota; Metazoa; Chordata; Actinopteri; Siluriformes; Bagridae.
GUUUCCUCCCCCGGUCCAAAGACAUGCAUGGUAGGUUGAUUGGCAUCUCUGGAAAAUUGUCCGUAGUGUGUGAUUGCGUGAGUGAAUGAGAGUGUGUGUGUGUGUGUGUGUGUGUGUGCCCUGCGAUGGGUUGGCACUCCGUCCAGGGUGUAUCCUGCCUUGAUGCCCGAUGGCGCCUGAGCUAGCCAUAGGCUCCCCGUGACCCGAGGUAGUUCAGAUAAGCGGUAGAAAAUGAGUGAGUGAGUGAGAAUUACAAUUAAUGAAAUAACGUGAUUUUAAUACCUUGUGGUAUCGAAUAAAGAAACAUAUUGAUUGGAAGGAUGGUGUGUAGCCGCUAGAGGGCGCUGCGAAACUAACGGUUGGAUUCCAAAUGGCAUCUUUUAUGUAAUAAUGGAAUCUACGUCCUAUCUAGUGCACUUCUAUAUCCAGUAGGAAGGUAUUUGGGAUUUAUCCAUGGACUUAACCGGCGUAUGAUUAACAGCAGCACUCCAGCAUCGCUUUACAUCCUGUGAGAGUCUGAAGAGAGAGAAGGUGAGAAUCCAAGCCCAGUUCCAGCACUGCAGACAUGGCCACUAAUGCAGAGUCGAUGUGGGAGGACCAGAGUGCCUUUGAUUAUGAUUAUGAGACUUUGCAAACCACCGGCCUCAUUCUUGCUGUGAUAAUGUUUAUUUCUGGAAUCCUCAUUGCCCUGAGUAAAAAAUUCAAAUGUUCAAAGUCAUCGAAGUAAGACUUUGCAGACGAGUGGAAAGCCUGCUCUGUGCAUGCGGAAUGACUUGGAAAAAAAGAUGAAGAGUGAUAACAAAAGAAAGGACCUUCAACUAGAAGACUCUUAACUCACAUCCAGCCCCUGGCUCAAGUCCUGUGGAACGGCUUCAGUCCCUCCAAACAGAAGUACCUUCUCAGUCAGUAUAGAGACUGAGCAUCCAAGCAUCUGUGCUCGAGGAUGCUCGUAAAAUGUGAGGAGACCUGCAUGGGAUUGGAUAAAACCAGAUAAUUCUUUAUUUCUACUGGAGUUUGAGGCUUCUUUGUAAAGCUCAUAUAGUAUGUUGCAACUUGCUCAGGAUUUUAUUUACAUACCAAUAUUCACAAUUGAAUACUUAAUGUUUAUCACAAAUUGUUUAUUAUCCCUGCACAAAGAUCAAUAAUGUGCACAAACCUAACUGUUUGUUGAGUUGCAUUUUUAUUAUAAAGCUAAUGAUUGUCUUGUUUACCCCCUCCUCCCAGGGCCGGUUCCAGCCAAUUAUAUUAGGGUAAGAUGGUGCAAAUAAUAGGUGGACAACCAGUGGUAGUAGCCCAAACACCUAAUCCAGUUGUCCAGUUAACCAAUAUUUACAAUAUCCUCUAACCCCCAAUAAUGAUCCAUGUGAUGUCGGUCAAAUUUGAGCAUUUGUGAGCAUGCAUAGCAGUCACAAAUUGAGAAAAGUAGAUAAAAAUGAGGCGAGUGACAAAAACUAUUCUGUGCUGCAGGGGUGGUGCUUUGUGUGAGGCUGCUGCAGACAGAUCAGUUGUCGACUGGCUGUAGGCUGCUCAUCCAAUCAGUAGUUAGAACUCAUAGUGGUAUUUUCUGUUAUUUUCUCUUUGACUAAAAUAAAAUAAAUAAAGAAAUAAAACCAGACUUUGAUUGGCUGCCCACUGCUGCUGCCGGCCCAGCCUCCUCCUCUUCUGUUCUCAUGUGUUUCACCACCUAUCAGUUUAGCAGCAUGACUCAGCCAAUUAGUAAAGAAAAAGACUUGACUACAUUUAGUACAUACUACCUUGACUACGUUUGGUUUGUGAACCUUGUGUCAAUGAUAAAAAUCACAAAAU